GGAGGGGACAGCUCUGUGGUAGAGCGCGUGCUUCGCAUGCACAAGGUCCCGGGUUCCAUCCCCAACACCUCCA
Molecule: non-coding RNA, 73 nt
Organism: Camelus ferus (Wild Bactrian camel)
Lineage: Eukaryota; Metazoa; Chordata; Mammalia; Artiodactyla; Camelidae
Source: Rfam